GCAUAUCAAUAAGCGGAGGAAAAGAAACCAACAGGGAUUGCCUCAGUAACGGCGAGUGAAGCGGCAACAGCUCAAAUUUGAAAUCUGGCCUCACGGUCCGAGUUGUAAUUUGUAGAGGAUGCUUUUGGCGAGGUGCUUUCCGAGUUCCCUGGAACGGGACGCCAUAGAGGGUGAGAGCCCCGUACGGUAAGACCACCGAGCCUCUGUAAAGCUCCUUCGACGAGUCGAGUAGUUUGGGAAUGCUGCUCUAAAUGGGAGGUGUACGUCUUCUAAAGCUAAAUACCGGCCAGAGACCGAUAGCGCACAAGUAGAGUGAUCGAAAGAUGAAAAGCACUUUGAAAAGAGGGUUAAAAAGUACGUGAAAUUGUUGAAAGGGAAGCAUUCAUGACCAGACUUGGGCUUGGUUGAACAUCCGGCGUUCUCGCCGGUGCACUCUGCCAGUCCAGGCCAGCAUCAGUUUGCCCCGGGGGACAAAGGCGGUGGGAAUGUGGCUCUCUUCGGGGAGUGUUAUAGCCCGCCGUGUAAUGCCCUGGGGCGGACUGAGGAACGCGCUUCGGCACGGAUGCUGGCGUCAUCAAUGA
Molecule: ribosomal RNA, 581 nt
Filed under: Sarocladium strictum
Lineage: Eukaryota; Fungi; Ascomycota; Sordariomycetes; Hypocreales; Sarocladiaceae
Description: partial large subunit ribosomal RNA
Rfam family: Eukaryotic large subunit ribosomal RNA
Source: RNAcentral